CCAGGGAAUGCUUGGUUCCAUGCUGACCUUCAGAAAUGUUUCCUCUUCUCUGAGGCUGAUGGAAAUUUCUAGGGAAUUGAAAUGAUCCUGCCCAUCUAAAAGUCUUGCCAAUUUUAGGGGGCUGUUCUGAGACAGCAGUUGAGCCAUUCCUGUGAAUGACUCAGGUCUUCAGGACCACUUGCCUGGCAGGGCUGUCCCACGUAUGGCAGGGUACCACGAAUGAGCGUGAUUGCCCCAGAUACCACCUGUUGCAGAUCUCAUGAUGCAUGACGGGACAUGACUCAGGAUGGCAGAGUAAUAAAUGAAUAAGCAUUGGAAACAAAUUAAUAUGGACAUAUUUAGCCAUCCCAUAAUAACUCUCCCACACUUGCACAUGUGUACAGACACACAUAUACUUCCUGUCACCAAGGCAACCAUUCCCUGAAGCUGUAUUUUGUUCUUUUCCACAUUAGAUAUUUUUAACCUUACUUCCUAGGAGUGUAGCUCUGGUCUUUGGAGUCUCUCCUGAGGAAGUACCUCAGUACACCUCCUUGGGACAUGCUGUUACAUCUAACAUUUUCCAGGUCAGUUUUGAAGGCUCAUGUCUUACCCUCCUUCUGACAUGGAAUUCAGCCAACACACCAUUUGAAAAUGCACUGAAAGCAUCAGCAGCACAAAAUGACCAUUACGAUUGCUACUGUGAGUCAGAGGAAUUAGAGACAAAGGUAGCAUUUGCCUUGCAGUUCUCCCAGACAAUUCUCGCUUUAAAAAAAGGUGGGGAGGGGCGGGGGGGGUCACAAAGUUCAUGUGAAAAAGGAGCCAGCUUGGUUCCAAAAGAUGGAGACAGAGUCUCGGGAUUAAAAGGGACAGCUCUUAUUUUGGAGGCAGGAAUUUAGGACUAAGGAUGGUUUAAGAGCAGUUGACAUUUCUUUCCUCCUCCUUAUAACAUAUGUUACUCUUCAAUUAACCUCAUUUUCUAUUUUAGAUUUCAAUAUUUCAAAAUGCCAGCAACACAAAGGGGUCAGGAAACAGUUAAAAGAUUCUUAUACAAAUAUUGAUAUGGCUUUUGACAACAUCCAUGUAAUAAGCAGGGAAGUUUUUUCCUUUUUACAUCACCAACGCGUUCAUGAUUAAAGGUCAGUCUGUGGCAACAGUUAAUCUAAUUUCAUCUCUACGCUACAAUCAUUACUCUCUGCUUAAAAAAAAAAAAAUCUUAUUUGUCACCGGUCCAAAAAGUUCUCUGCAUAUCCUUCUGUCAGAUUUCUGCCAGAGGGGGAAUGGUACGAGGAUUUAAUUUACAGUAGUAAUCCACUCUCAUGCCCUGCCUGUUAUUAAGCGUCGGGGCACGGUGGAGUGGAGAGGGAAGUCUUCACUAGGAAACAACUGCUUGUAAAGUAGCUUAAGUGCAGAACUGGUGAUGGUGCGGCCGGCAUUUAUUAUGCCCUGAACUAGGGCUCUGGUUUUCAAAAACCCGAGACAGGAGAAAAGGUAGGAGCCACGAGGAAGACUGCACCCAGGUAAUCUGGGUCAGUCUAUACAUCAACGGAGAGAGGGGCAAGAGGCCAGUGGAUGGAGAGCCUCGGAUGGGUGCACAGUGGCCAAAACCCUGCGGCGGCGCAUCCCGAGGGCUGGAGGCGUGGGUGGGCUGCGGAGAAGGCGUGCAAGCCGGGCGCGCUGUUCUCCCGCCCCAUCCGACCCUGCCAAUGAGCG
This 1689-nucleotide long non-coding RNA is filed under the name Capra hircus (goat). Its description in RNAcentral is "lncRNA (ENSCHIG00010020574.1)". The record is from RNAcentral. Lineage: Eukaryota; Metazoa; Chordata; Mammalia; Artiodactyla; Bovidae.